RNAcentral lists this non-coding RNA (29 nucleotides) under Mus musculus (house mouse). The record is from RNAcentral. Lineage: Eukaryota; Metazoa; Chordata; Mammalia; Rodentia; Muridae.
UAGACAAAUGGCUCCAUGUGUUAUCUGUG